GCCGCCGCCGCCUGGGACUGGGGCUGCGACGGCGGCGGCGGCGGCGGCGCGCUGGGGCUGCUGUAGUCGGGGUAGCUGCCGCCGUAGCUCCUCAUCAUGGGGCUGGGCGAGAACGUUAGCCGCUCUGCCUCGAUUUGGGGCCAUCGGUGUAAUUCCCACAACUUCUCCAAAACUUGCGAGAGGAGGAAAGAGUUUCGGGGAAGGUCGGCCGCGUGGGUUCGGGGAGUGCGUGUCCUGGACACAGCAAGCGCCCAGGAAGUGCGGAGACGGACCGCACCUGCCCCAAAGAGGACGUUUACGUAACUCUUCUUUCCAGGCACCUUCUGUAUGCCUGUAGGCUUAGCAGUGCCUACAGACGCAAAAGUAUUCCCAGAGGAGCAUUUUUCUUAACGACAGGCGCUUGUCUCUCUCUAUCCUCUCUCUAAAGGGAAAGUCUUCGAAUAAGUAGACCGGUGUGUGCUAUGCUCCAGCUUGCACAUGGAAAUUUAACUAUCGGUGCCAUAAUAGGGACAGCUGAAGUUUAUCUCGUGUCUUCAUAAAUCUGUACGACGCCUUUCAUCAUAUUUCAGAGGUUAAUGUGCACAAUUAACCCUCUGGAUAGGAGUUCAUCUCUAAGCAAUGUGAAACAAAACUAAAAGAAAUACGUGUUAUGCCCAAUAAAUAGAAGAUCAGUAGUAAUGGAGAUGGGUCAGAUCUAGCCCUAGAGCAGAAAUGUUUCGGACCGUGUUCCUUUAAGAAUACCCUACUCUUCUGUCACUUUAGGGUGUUUUAAGUGUUUUUGUUAUUGUGAAUUCAUCACCUGGUAACCUCGUGGAUAUCUUCAAGCAGGCCUUCUGAACCUAAGCAGUGCCUCACUUGUACUAGUGUGGAACUCGUUUCCACGGAGAGAAAGCAUUUGAAACCAGAACUUUCCAAGAGGUCACACUAACUGAAAGGAUACAUGUGGGAGAACAUAGUUUUCUAAAGUCCCUUCAUCCCUCAGCUUUUUAUAAAGAUCGUUUUAGUUUAUUUCUACUGCAGCGGUUAUUUUUAUUUGCUUGCACAAGUGCAAAUAUGUUAAUGACUAAAUAGAAAACGAUGGCUGGGAAAAACUGGUGGCUAAUUGGUGGGGGAGGGGAAUCAGGUGCACACCCAAGGGUCAUUAUAGAGUGUACAAACAACAAAUCGCAAUUCCAUGCGAACAGCUGGAAAACAGGGGUUAUAUCAUUGUGUGUAAGAGAGACUAACAGAACUGUAAGAUGAAUUCAUGCCAAAUCAUUCAUCAGUUUUUGCCAAGAGAAUACUACAUCUUUGUUAGUGUGCCUUUUUGACACUUUCUCCUGGAUUUUCCCCCUUUAUACAUUCAAAUACGUACUGAUUAUACACAGUACACCACAAAAGUUGAAUUUUUAAAGUUUUUCAUAUGCAACUAUAAAUACAUGUCUGUUUCGUGUGUGAACACAUAUAUUCUAAAAUCAGCUACACAUUUAUGCUUUUAGACAUUUAGACCCAAACUAAACAUAUACAUAAUACAGUCACACGAAAGCAUUUAUCCAAAUUGAUAAAAUACGUCAAAGUCAAUUUAAACAGGUGUAGCCAUAUCUUGUGGCUUAUUUUCACAACUAAUCCUGAGAGGGAAACAUGAGUCACCCAAGUUUAGCUCUCUGGCCUUUUUCUUAGAAAUAUUUUUCAUAUAGAAAAAUCAUGGAACUAGAAAAAAAAUAUAUGUCAAGAUCUCUUUUAAUUCCAUUUGUUUCAGCAAGUCAAGUAGAAGAUUGGAACCAAGAGGCUAUGAAAUAGAGGCCCCCAGCACAAUGAAAUCAGCCUGCUAUAAAAGGCGACACAUGCCAGUUUCUCCUCCCCAAUGGCAGAUGCCACACCCUAAAGCAGACAGAAGGCACUGCAGUCUGUAAAGAGAAGCACAACACAAAGCCGGCAGGACUUGGUUUUGUCUUUUAAACCACAGAGAAUGCUAAAAUACCUUUUUUAAAGCACCCUUGCUGAAGAUAAGUAGUGGGCUCCUAUUCAUUCAACUUACAGUUUUUAAACACACCUUCUCAAGAAAACAAAAUAAAAGCCUCUCAGAGUUUCAUUUAAAAAUCCAUGGCUUCAUAGACAAAAACAGGGACUGUCAGGGGUCUGUUAGAAAGUGAUGAAACAGGUUCACAUUUCACAAAAAAAGCACAGUUUGAACCAGAGGUGAUAAUUCUGUUGUAUCACUUGCCUCAAUUAUCCUAUAUGGCCACGCUACCAAUAUUGUUUCCUUUGAUGAAAUAAGGCCCUUCAGAAAGUAACAGGUACAUUUUUCCCGAUGAAGUCCUUAUUUUUACACCUCUUGUGUAAUUUCAAACAAUGAUGACAACUUUAAUAAGUCACUCCGACCGCAAACCAACGGAGGUGAAGACCCGAAAGCUGGCAAAUGGCCACCGUGCCCCUGCCGCCACCGUCCCACCCACGGCUUGCCCUGAGCCCUCCUGUUUAGCCAGAAGAUUACCCGUUAUUUUCUUAAACACUCCAUUUUGGCGACAAAAAGGUUUGGUUUGUUUUGGGUUUGGGUUUUUUUUUUUUUAACUAUAUGAAAAUACUAAUAUUUAAAUACUCCUUUUGAAGAAGUUUUGGGCUCCGAAUAAAAGACUCUUCAACUUGCCCACUUCAAGAGGAUUGAGCCAGAUGGUAGUUGAAGAAUGCCACAGCUCUGUUCUUUUUGCCUCAUCGUCGUCGUAGCCCAUCAUUCUGUUUGCUUUCAGAUUAGUCCCCUUUUACUAUUCUGGUUAUUUAUUCGAUAACUGAAACUAUCACGAUUCACUAACCAUCAUAUUCCUCAGUAUUCUUUAUGUAAUUUGGAAGCAAUUUAGAAUUAAGUCCUGUCAAGGUUUUACAAAUAAGAACUAUUAGAGAAUAAGGCUUUGGAUACUUGCUUUCCUUUUAGAUUUAUGAGAAAUGCGAUGAAUGGAGCUAAUGGGAUUUCCCUACUGAUCUUGGGCAGGGACUUUAAAAAGCACUAAACAAUUGUCCUUUUCACUUCUCUGAUUUAGAUGUUAGCAGUGAAUAACUGAGUAAACGCAAGAUAUGGGACAUAGCAUUUGAUUUGAAACAACUAUGCAAAUUAACAGUGGUCCAAAAGUUUAGGAGGCAAACAAUUAGAAUUUCUUUUCAAUUAGAAUUUGAGAAAAAAUCUAGGCAAAAAUACUUUAAAUAAAUUUGGGGACUCUGACGGAUAGUAGCACCAUUGUACUUAGUAAGAACAGUAUAGCAUGGAUAAUAAACCUGGAUGGGAAUAAACUACACUUAUUUCACAAA
Molecule: long non-coding RNA, 3279 nt
Organism: Canis lupus familiaris (dog)
Lineage: Eukaryota; Metazoa; Chordata; Mammalia; Carnivora; Canidae
Exons: 2
Source: RefSeq, a predicted model, not a curated record